UGGGGAAUAUUGGACAAUGGGCGGAAGCCUGAUCCAGCCAUGCCGCGUGUGUGAAGAAGGCCUUUUGGUUGUAAAGCACUUUAAGCGAGGAGGAGGCUACUUGGAUUAAUACGCUAGGAUAGUGGACGUUACUCGCAGAAUAAGCACCGGCUAACUCUGUGCCAGCAGCCGCGGUAAUACAGAGGGUGCGAGCGUUAAUCGGAUUUACUGGGCGUAAAGCGUGCGUAGGCGGCUUCUUAAGUCGGAUGUGAAAUCCCUGAGCUUAACUUAGGAAUUGCAUUGGAUACUGGGAAGCUAGAGUAUGGGAGAGGAUGGUAGAAUUCCAGGUGUAGCGGUGAAAUGCGUAGAGAUCUGGAAGAAUACCGAUGGCGAAGGCAGCCAUCUGGCCUAAUACUGACGCUGAGGUACGAAAGCAUGGGGAGCAAACAGG
RNAcentral lists this ribosomal RNA (430 nucleotides) under Bacillota bacterium. Its description in RNAcentral is "Firmicutes bacterium partial 16S ribosomal RNA". It matches the Rfam family "Bacterial small subunit ribosomal RNA", at positions 355 to 776 of the family's 1533-position model. Lineage: Bacteria; Bacillati; Bacillota. The record is from RNAcentral.